Molecule: ribosomal RNA, 484 nt
Filed under: uncultured bacterium
Lineage: Bacteria
Description: partial 16S ribosomal RNA
Rfam family: Bacterial small subunit ribosomal RNA
Source: RNAcentral
AUUGAACGCUGGCGGCAGGCCUAACACAUGCAAGUCGAGCGGAUGAAGGGAGCUUGCUCCUGGAUUCAGCGGCGGACGGGUGAGUAAUGCCUAGGAAUCUGCCUGGUAGUGGGGGAUAACGUCCGGAAACGGGCGCUAAUACCGCAUACGUCCUGAGGGAGAAAGUGGGGGAUCUUCGGACCUCACGCUAUCAGAUGAGCCUAGGUCGGAUUAGCUAGUUGGUGGGGUAAAGGCCUACCAAGGUGGCGAUCCGUAACUGGUCUGAGAGGGUGGUCAGUCACCUUGGCAGUGAGAAAGGGCCCCGACUCCUGCGGGAGGACGCAGUGGGGAAUAUUGGGCGAUGGGGGAAAGCCUGAUCCUGCCAUGCGGGGUGUGGCAAGAAGGUCUUCUGCUUGUAAAGCACUUAAGGUUGGGAGGAAGGACAGUAAUUUAAUACCUUGCUGUUUUGACGUUACCAACAGAAUAAGCUCCGGCUAACUUCGUG